RNAcentral lists this ribosomal RNA (403 nucleotides) under uncultured bacterium. Its description in RNAcentral is "bacterial SSU rRNA". It matches the Rfam family "Bacterial small subunit ribosomal RNA", at positions 15 to 414 of the family's 1533-position model. The record is from RNAcentral.
GAUCCUGGCUCAGAUUGAACGCUGGCGGCAUGCCUAACACAUGCAAGUCGAACGGCAGCACAGCAGUAGCAAUACUGUGGGUGGCGAGUGGCGGACGGGUGAGGAAUACGUCGGAAUCUGCCCAGUCGUGGGGGAUAACUAGCCGAAAGGUUAGCUAAUACCGCAUACGACCGAGAGGUGAAAGCGGGGGACCGCAAGGCCUCGCGCGAUUGGAUGAGCCGACGUCGGAUUAGCUAGUUGGCGGGGUAAAGGCCCACCAAGGCGACGAUCCGUAGCUGGUCUGAGAGGAUGAUCAGCCACACUGGAACUGAGACACGGUCCAGACUCCUACGGGAGGCAGCAGUGGGGAAUAUUGGACAAUGGGCGCAAGCCUGAUCCAGCAAUGCCGCGUGUGUGAAGAAGG